Non-coding RNA from Lactuca sativa (garden lettuce), 1098 nucleotides. The record is from RefSeq and is a predicted model, not a curated record. Lineage: Eukaryota; Viridiplantae; Streptophyta; Magnoliopsida; Asterales; Asteraceae.
AGUGGAGUUGGUGGGGAGGUUUAGGAAUUAUGUUUGAUUUUUUUAGGAAUUCUAAGGAUUUUUCAACAAAUUUUGUGGGAUUUUAGAGUGCACUCAGCGUGUGUUUUUAAAGGUACUUUUUUUUGUUUUUUCUUUAAAGGUGGUAUUAUGUCAUCCUUCAUUUAGACUCAAUUGUUCCAAAGCUUCUUCAACAAGGAAUUCCACUUAUCUAUCCUCUCUUUUGAUGAAAACUUCCUCCACUAAAAAAAAGAGGUACUUUUAUUUAUUUAUUAUUGUAGACCAACGUGUCUUAACAUAGCUUGAAUGAGUCAUCAGAACCAGUGCUUUAACUCUAACACCUGCAGUCCACCACCGCUUCUAUCUCCCUUCUCUCCAUAGCUUCGAUUUUACAUAUCCUAUAUAUUUUACAUCGUCUUCAGUCUUCCUCUUUUUUCUCUCUACAAGACGGUUUCAAGAACACGAGUCUAGCUUCUUUCCUACUACCAUCGCUCCUAAUACACGGCUAUAGAAAUUCUUGUCACCAAUUUUUAAAGAGUUCGUCAAAGCGGGACUGAAAAUAGACAAAGAAAAAGACAAUUUCCCAUCUAUGCAGGAGAAUUUCAGAUCUGAAGGAAAGGAUGUUGAUUCAUCUUCUUUCAUCUAUAGGGUUUAUGAGUCGAAGAGAUGCCCAUGAAUAUAGAUCGAAUUGCAAUAUCUAUAUGUUCAUCAAAAGACAGACUCUAUUCGAUCGCUCGUUGCUGGGUACGACCGUCUUCAACUUCUCCUUCCCCCUCUAUCUUGUGAAUUUAUUAUUCUUUUUAUUUACAACCUAAUUUAAUAUUAUUUUUUAUUUUUACUUUGUUUUCUGGGUGCCUGUGUUCACGACAUGUCGGACUCUGUCAUUUCAGUUUUGCUCGAUGGUAAGAAUCGCAAGUUCAUCUAAAUUGAAGUGCAGAGUGAACCGCUCAAGACUAAAGUCAAGUAGCUCGUCAAAAAUUCGUCAAGUUGAAUUUAUGUAUAUAUACUACUUUAAGUAGCGAGUGUGUUGUAUUAAGUAUUGUAAUGUACUUGUUUCCAACCCUACGUAAGUGGAAGUAUAAAUUUUGAUAUUCCCAUUUA